This 261-nucleotide ribosomal RNA is filed under the name Clostridioides difficile. RNAcentral's name for it is "partial 23S ribosomal RNA". It matches the Rfam family "Bacterial large subunit ribosomal RNA", at positions 1219 to 1479 of the family's 2925-position model. The record is from RNAcentral. Lineage: Bacteria; Bacillati; Bacillota; Clostridia; Peptostreptococcales; Peptostreptococcaceae.
UAAUGAUGGGUAGGGGAGCUUCCCAUACGGGUUGAAGCAUGACCGUAAGGACAUGUGGACAGUAUGGGAGUGAGAAUGUUGGCAUGAGUAGCGAGAUGUGGGUGAGAAUCCCACAGGCCGUAAACCCCAGGUUUCCAGGGGAAGGUUCGUCCGCCCUGGGUUAGUCGGGACCUAAGCUGAGGCCGAAAGGCGUAGGUGAUGGACAACAGGUUGAUAUUCCUGUACUACCGAUAACCAUUUGAGAGAAGGGAUGACACAGUA